This 1068-nucleotide ribosomal RNA is filed under the name Triticum aestivum (bread wheat). RNAcentral's name for it is "partial small subunit ribosomal RNA". The record is from RNAcentral. Lineage: Eukaryota; Viridiplantae; Streptophyta; Magnoliopsida; Poales; Poaceae.
AUGCAGUUCUACUCCACAGCUCACUUCUACCCAGAUGGAAGGAUUGUCUGGAUGUCUGAAGGUACGAGGUACCAGUCAAUAGUUGCAGAAUGGGCUAAGUUGAUCAAUGCCCCAAAAGAGAGUGAAGAUGACUUGGUUGUCUAUGCCACCAAGAAGAAGUAUCACAACACCAUGGCACACAUGUACAAGGAGAUCCCAGAUGCUGCUCUUGAGACACACAAGUUUGGAUCUGUACAUUACCUUCUGUCAGGCUUGCCAACUAUCAAUUGGAUCCUCAGGCACACUCUCUUGCCAAAGUCAGGUGAUCACAAGAUGAUCAGAGGCCAUGCAAUAAACUUGCUUCACAUCUUUGAUGUCCCACAAAUGUUCAAAGUCAUGAGCCUCAUAGUGGAAACCAUAAAGAGGACAGCUGCAGAUCAGAAGAGGAGUUGUGGGUAUGCCCCACAGAUCCAGGAGCUGAUUAACUCCAAGAUGGGCACUGGCACAUAUCUGCUGGACAAGGAGCACCUUCCCAUCUACCCAGAAUUUGAGGACAACACUGUGGUGAUGGAUGAAAAUGAACCAUCUUUUGUGCACGCACAAGCCAAGAAGGAGAAGGCAAAGGCUGAAAAGGCUGAAAAGGCUGCAAGGAUGCCAAUUACUGAAGAAGCAUCUCAGUAUCUUCUGAAGAGCAAGCAAGAUCAGCUUGGCUACUUGAUUGCCUCCACUCUGAGGAUUGAGAAGGGACUGGCCACCCUGACUCAAAACCAGGAGAGCUUGCAGAGGAUCAUGGAGCAAAAGUUCUAUGACUUGGAUGUGAAGGUAACUGAGAUCCAGUCUAUUGUGGAGCAACUUCAGGAUGAUAUGCAGGAGAGGAAGGGCAAGACAACCACUGAUGCAUUUGCCAGAGUGCCUAGAGCUCAGAGGUCUGCUGCAGUGCCUGUUCCAGACACCAGAGCCACUUCAUCUGCACCAGCUACAGCUUCAGUGCCACCAGCUCCAGCACCUACUCCAUCAGCUCCAUCUACAUCGACUGAAGCCUUCGCUCUUGGAGUUAUCCGGACACCACCACCUGAAGACCAAGCCUGA